UGAACAGGGGAGUUAUUGGAAAUUAAAUCCCAAGUAUCAUCCUCUAAGCCUGUCUCUGCUGGAGCCAAAACCACAGCAAAAGUACCAAAGACAACAAGAUGGAUUGUCUGUCCGGCAUUCAAAGAGCUUCAGCGUGUUCUAAAGAUCCCACAAAAUCCACUUGAGUGGUCAGUAGCUCAUGUAC
Long non-coding RNA from Penaeus monodon (black tiger shrimp), 184 nucleotides. RefSeq lists it as uncharacterized. The transcript is spliced from 2 exons. Lineage: Eukaryota; Metazoa; Arthropoda; Malacostraca; Decapoda; Penaeidae. The record is from RefSeq and is a predicted model, not a curated record.